GAGUUUGAUCAUGGCUCAGGAUGAACGCUGGCGGAGUGCCUAACACAUGCAAGUCGAGCGGCAGCGCGAGUAGUUUACUACUUGGCGGCGAGCGGCGGACGGCUGAGUAACGCGUGGGAACAUGCCCAAAGUGAGGAAUAACUGCCCGAAAGGGUAGCUAAUGCCGCAUACGAUCUUCGGAUUAAAGGAUUUAUCCGCUUUGGGAGUGGCCUGCGUACGAUUAGAUAGUUGGUGAGGUAAUGGCUCACCAAGUCUACGAUCGUUAACUGGUUUGAGAGGAUGAUCAGUCAGACUGGAACUGAGACACGGUCCAGACUCCUACGGGAGGCAGCAGUGAGGAAUCUUCCACAAUGGACGAAAGUCUGAUGGAGCAACUCCGCGUGCAGGAUGAAGGCCUUCGGGUCGUAAACUGCUUUUAUGAGUGAAGAAUAUGACGGUAACUCAUGAAUAAGGGUCGGCUAACUACGUG
RNAcentral lists this ribosomal RNA (469 nucleotides) under uncultured bacterium. Its description in RNAcentral is "bacterial SSU rRNA". It matches the Rfam family "Bacterial small subunit ribosomal RNA", at positions 9 to 507 of the family's 1533-position model. The record is from RNAcentral.